UAUUGCGCAUCGGACGUUUCAACCCGACCGAUGCACACAUCCUUGAGUGCCUAC
This 54-nucleotide ribosomal RNA is filed under the name Anopheles superpictus. Its description in RNAcentral is "partial 5.8S ribosomal RNA". Lineage: Eukaryota; Metazoa; Arthropoda; Insecta; Diptera; Culicidae. The record is from RNAcentral.